Carassius carassius (crucian carp) is the source of this 556-nucleotide long non-coding RNA. RefSeq lists it as uncharacterized. The transcript has 3 exons. Lineage: Eukaryota; Metazoa; Chordata; Actinopteri; Cypriniformes; Cyprinidae. The record is from RefSeq and is a predicted model, not a curated record.
AGUGUUGGGAGUAACGCUUUACAAAAGUAAUGCAUUACAGUAAUUUAUUACUUUUUCCUGUAACGCAGUAGUGUAAGGCAUUACUAAUUAAUUUUCAGUAAUAUUUUACUCGGUACAUUUUCAGCAAAGCUUGCGUUAAAAAAAAAAAAAACCUUUGUGAGGCCGCGAGAUUUCAUUAAUCUCCCUCUCGUUGGUGUAACUUUGUUAUUGCGUGACAUAGUCCAGUGAAGGCGGGUUUUACAGGAGUGGCGCGAGGCAUGAUUUCUGCCCCUGCUGUGCUCGCGAGUCGCGCUUGCCAGUGGAAAAGCGGCUAAUGAAUAUGGCAGAAGACGACUGUAAAUUCACGAGGUGGACGUCAGUUAGGCUAUGUUUAGCCUAUAUGUUCAGUUCUGUGGACUAAAAUGAAUGAGGCUAAGGGGUUGGUCCUCCAAUUGCACUUUAUACUUGAGAAAGCACAGCCUAAUCUAUGUUCAUCAUGUGCACUUUGUGCAUGACAGUUUUGUGUUGUGAACCUCUUGAAUUCAAAGAGAAUAAAGUAAAACAAAUGUGCAUCUUG